UACGGGGGGAGCAAGCGUUGUUCGGAUUUACUGGGCGUAAAGGGCGCGUAGGCGGCAUGACAAGUCACUUGUGAAAUCUCCGGGCUUAACUCGGAACGGUCAAGUGAUACUGUCGCGCUAGAGUGCGGAAGGGGCAAUCAGAAUUCUUGGUGUAGCGGUGAAAUGCGUAGAUAUCAAGAGGAAUACCUGAGGUGAAGACGGGUUGCUAGGCCGACACUGACGCUGAAGCGCGAAAGCCAGGGGAGCAAACGGG
This 253-nucleotide ribosomal RNA is filed under the name uncultured bacterium. RNAcentral describes it as "partial 16S ribosomal RNA". It matches the Rfam family "Bacterial small subunit ribosomal RNA", at positions 524 to 776 of the family's 1533-position model. The record is from RNAcentral.